UCCGUCCGGGUCCGUGGUUGCGUCGUCAGGGUGCCCCGGUCCGCCCGGGUGCCAGGUCGGCAAGCCGAUGCCAGUCGCAGGCGAAACGGUCCACGUAAGUCGCCACCAGGGGGGUCCGCCCCGCUGGGGGGACGAUCACGGUGCGGCUUAGACGUAAGUCCUGCCUCGGCCCCGUCGCCAGAUGCGGCGGCGGUCGGGAGAAGGUCAGUAGUGGCAUUCAAGCUGCGAGAGCCUCAGCAGGCGAUUGUGGGGUCGAAGACCAGGUCGGCCGGACGGA
This 277-nucleotide non-coding RNA is filed under the name Nocardioides sp. PD653. RNAcentral's name for it is "raiA RNA". It matches the Rfam family "raiA RNA". The record is from Rfam by way of RNAcentral. Lineage: Bacteria; Bacillati; Actinomycetota; Actinomycetes; Propionibacteriales; Nocardioidaceae.